CAAAAUCGUUUAAAGUGGAGAAAUAAAAUCCAUAUAACCGACCCCAAAUAUUUGGGAUAAAUGCUUAGUGGAGUAGAGUUGAGUUGAGUAUUAAAGUUAUGCCAUGUCAGCGAUAACAUAUAAAAUAAUAAUAUUUUUAUUACGUCAACCGCUAUGUCAUCAAGAAUAUAAAAGUUCGUGCCACGUCAGCAGCAACAUAUUAAAAAAUAAUAUGUUAUUCAUGACAACCGCCAUGUCAGCGCUUCUAAAUCCCUAAUUUUGACCAGGCCAUAAUAAAUACUGUACUUUCAAACUAGGCCAAAAUUGACCCAAAAAAAGAAGUUUUAGCUAUAAUUGAAAAAACGUGUAAAGUUUUGGAUUUUUUUUUUGAAUAUUAGGCCUUUACUUUAUUAAUUA
This 396-nucleotide unclassified non-coding RNA is filed under the name Hevea brasiliensis (rubber tree). Lineage: Eukaryota; Viridiplantae; Streptophyta; Magnoliopsida; Malpighiales; Euphorbiaceae. The record is from RNAcentral.